AGAGUUUGAUCCUGGCUCAGGACGAACGCUGGCGGCACGCUUAACACAUGCAAGUCGAACGAGAGAAGAGAAGCUUGCUUUUCUGAUCUAGUGGCGGACGGGUGAGUAACACGUGAGCAAUCUGCCUUUCAGAGGGGGAUACCGAUUGGAAACGAUCGUUAAUACCGCAUAACAUAAUUGAACCGCAUGAUUUGAUUAUCAAAGAUUUAUCGCUGAAAGAUGAGCUCGCGUCUGAUUAGCUAGUUGGUAAGGUAACGGCUUACCAAGGCGACGAUCAGUAGCCGGACUGAGAGGUUGAUCGGCCACAUUGGGACUGAGACACGGCCCAGACUCCUACGGGAGGCAGCAGUGGGGAAUAUUGCACAAUGGAGGAAACUCUGAUGCAGCGAUGCCGCGUGAGGGAAGAAGGUUUUAGGAUUGUAAACCUCUGUCUUCAGGGACGAAAAAUGACAGUACCUGAGGAGGAAGCUCCGGCUAACUACGUGCCAGCAGCCGCGGUAAUACGUAGGGAGCGAGCGUUGUCCGGAAUUACUGGGUGUAAAGGGAGCGUAGGCGGGAUCGCAAGUCAGAUGUGAAAACUAUGGGCUUAACCCAUAAACUGCAUUUGAAACUGUGGUUCUUGAGUGAAGUAGAGGUAAGCGGAAUUCCUAGUGUAGCGGUGAAAUGCGUAGAUAUUAGGAGGAACAUCAGUGGCGAAGGCGGCUUACUGGGCUUUAACUGACGCUGAGGCUCGAAAGCGUGGGGAGCAAACAGGAUUAGAUACCCUGGUAGUCCACGCCGUAAACGAUGAUUACUAGGUGUGGGGGGACUGACCCCUUCCGUGCCGCAGCAAACGCAAUAAGUAAUCCACCUGGGGAGUACGACCGCAAGGUUGAAACUCAAAGGAAUUGAC
This 892-nucleotide ribosomal RNA is filed under the name uncultured Gram-positive bacterium. RNAcentral describes it as "bacterial SSU rRNA". It matches the Rfam family "Bacterial small subunit ribosomal RNA", at positions 8 to 914 of the family's 1533-position model. The record is from RNAcentral.